CCUCCUCCUCCCCGCGCCCCUGGCUCCUCUUUCUUCGGUGAAAUCCCGCCCGCCGCCCCUUCCCCGGACCCCAAACCUUCACCAUGACCCGCGCGGGCCUCUUAACUACCGCCCCCGGGCCCCAGCCCCCAGUUUUCGAGCGGGAAAGGGGUGGAAAUCGCCGCCGCUUCGCACCCUGGGGUAACUCGCUUUUUGCUGCCUCCCCACAGUUGUUGCUAAGCUUCACCAUCUUGUCUCUCUUCUCUGGUCACCGACCAUAUUUUUUCCCCCGUUUCUCUCUU
Molecule: long non-coding RNA, 281 nt
Filed under: Homo sapiens (human)
Lineage: Eukaryota; Metazoa; Chordata; Mammalia; Primates; Hominidae
Description: HSALNT0023031
Source: RNAcentral